Molecule: ribosomal RNA, 788 nt
Filed under: uncultured bacterium
Lineage: Bacteria
Description: bacterial SSU rRNA
Rfam family: Bacterial small subunit ribosomal RNA
Source: RNAcentral
UUAGGUUGAUCUUGCUAGACGACGCUACGUUGGCUUAGGCAUGCAGUCGACCGGAAACCCUUCGGGUGAGUAAAGUGCGAACGGGUGAGUAACACGUGGGCAACCUGCCCCUCGCAGGGGGACAACCCGGAGGAAACUCCGGCUAAUACCCCGUAAGCUCUACAGGCCGCAUGGCGAGUAGAGGAAAGGUAGCUUAGGCCAUCCGGCGAGGGAUGGGCCCGCGGUGCAUUAGCUAGUUGUGGGGUAACGGCCCACCCAGGCGACGAUGCGUAGCUGGUCUGAGAGGAUGAUCAGCCACACUGGGACUGAGACACGGCCCAGACUCCUACGGGAGGCAGCAGCCAGGAAUCUUGGGCAAUGGGCGAAAGCCUGACCCAGCAACACCGUGUGGGUGAUGAAGGCCUCCGGGUCGUAAAGCCCUGUUGAUAGGGACGAAGGGCGAAGGGUUAAUAGCCCCUAGCUUGACGGUACCUUUCGAGGAAGCCCCGGCUAACUACGUGCCAGCAGCCGCGGUAAUACGUAGGGGGCGAGCGUUGUCCGGAAUUAUUGGGCGUAAAGAGCGUGUAGGCGGUUCGGUAAGUCUGUCGUGAAAUCCUGGGGCUCAACCCCGGGCGUGCGAUGGAUACUGCCGGGCUAGAGGGUGGUAGAGGCGAGUGGAAUUCCCGGUGUAGCGGUGAAAUGCGCAGAUAUCGGGAGGAACACCAGUAGCGAAGGCGGCUCGCUGGGCCACACCUGACGCUGAGACGCGAAAGCUAGGGGAGCGAACAGGAUUAGAUACCCUGGUAGUC